CGGGCUGUGGCUCAGCUUGGUAGAGCGCUUGAAUGGGGUUCAAGAGGUCGUGGGUUCGAAUCCCGCCAGCCCGA
RNAcentral lists this transfer RNA (74 nucleotides) under Deltaproteobacteria bacterium. RNAcentral describes it as "tRNA-Pro". It matches the Rfam family "tRNA". Rfam says of the family: Transfer RNA (tRNA) molecules are approximately 80 nucleotides in length. RNAcentral also lists the same sequence under 2 other names. Lineage: Bacteria; Pseudomonadati; Myxococcota; Myxococcia. The record is from RNAcentral.